Molecule: transfer RNA, 88 nt
Filed under: Sclerotinia sclerotiorum 1980 UF-70
Lineage: Eukaryota; Fungi; Ascomycota; Leotiomycetes; Helotiales; Sclerotiniaceae
Description: tRNA-Tyr for anticodon GUA
Rfam family: tRNA
About the family: Transfer RNA (tRNA) molecules are approximately 80 nucleotides in length. Their secondary structure includes four short double-helical elements and three loops (D, anti-codon, and T loops). Further hydrogen bonds mediate the characteristic L-shaped molecular structure. tRNAs have two regions of fundamental functional importance: the anti-codon, which is responsible for specific mRNA codon recognition, and the 3' end, to which the tRNAs corresponding amino acid is attached (by aminoacyl-tRNA synthetases). tRNAs cope with the degeneracy of the genetic code in two manners: having more than one tRNA (with a specific anti-codon) for a particular amino acid; and 'wobble' base-pairing, i.e. permitting non-standard base-pairing at the 3rd anti-codon position.
Source: Rfam by way of RNAcentral
CUCUCGGUCGUCUAGUUGGUUUAUGACGUCAGACUGUAAUUGUUUCAUUGUAAUCUGGAUGUCGCGUGUUCGACUCACGCCUGAGAGA